Molecule: long non-coding RNA, 229 nt
Filed under: Prunus persica (peach)
Lineage: Eukaryota; Viridiplantae; Streptophyta; Magnoliopsida; Rosales; Rosaceae
Description: long non-coding RNA (PPER_LNC000638)
Source: RNAcentral
GUUUCGCCAGUUGUGGUGCGUUGUGUGAUGUGAUAGGCCCAUAAGACUUCGAGCAAGAGUUCAGCCCAGUCCCCUUUCUUGACUCCUAGCUUCUUUUUGGGUGUGCGCUUAAAAUCUUGUUGAUGGCCUGGACUUAGCCAUUGGCUUGGGGAUGCGCUGGUGAUGAGAAGCAGAGAGUGAUGUUAAAAUUUGAACUGAAUUCUCGAAAUCGAGCGUUAUCGAAUUGUCG